CGAACGUGGGGAACCGUGCCCCAUAGUCUGGGAUACCACUUGGAACAGGUGCUAAUACCGGAUAAGAAAGCGGAUCGCAUGAUCAGCUUUUAAAAGGCGGCGUAAGCUGUCGCUAUGGGAUGGCCCCGCGGUGCAUUAGCUAGUUGGUAAGGUAAAGGCUUACCAAGGCGAUGAUGCAUAGCCGAGUUGAGAGACUGAUCGGCCACAUUGGGACUGAGACACGGCCCAAACUCCUACGGGAGGCAGCAGCG
RNAcentral lists this ribosomal RNA (251 nucleotides) under uncultured Lactobacillus sp. Its description in RNAcentral is "partial 16S ribosomal RNA". It matches the Rfam family "Bacterial small subunit ribosomal RNA", at positions 112 to 356 of the family's 1533-position model. The record is from RNAcentral. Lineage: Bacteria; Bacillati; Bacillota; Bacilli; Lactobacillales; Lactobacillaceae.